AGAAAUAUUUAUAUAUUUUAUCUAUUUUUGUUGUUGUUGUUUUGGUUUGGGGUUUUUUGUUGUUGUUUAUUUUGGGGUUUUUUUUUUAAUAUAUCACCCAACAGGACCCCUGCUGGCAACGGCAGCUUUAAGUGACGAAAGAAAAUCUUCUGGGGAGAAAAUGUUCCACCUGAUUUUGAGAUAAAACCCCGCUUAUCAAACCCGCCCUACCCAACCUGGGGCAGGACGAGAUUCCUGCUGUGCCACCAUCGAUGCCAAGGAUGGAUCCAGCCCAGCCCCGAAGCUUUUGGGCUCUCGGUGCUGCAGGGAGGGCAAUGCCCAGCCUGGCCCCGGGACGGGGGGUUCUAUUCCCAAAUUCUGUGUGUUUUACCCAAAUUCCUCUUCAUUAAUGGGCAUUUUUGGGAUUCAGACUCUGCCAGCAUGCGGUGACUCGGUGAAUGCCAGUUUGCUGUUGGCAUUCCGGGCACCUCCCACACUGCCCGGGGACAAAUCCCAUUCCCAGGGGGGAUAAAUCCCAUUUCCAGGGGGGACAAAUAUUUCUGUGGGGGAUGAACCCCAUUUCUCUGGGGGAUAAAUCCCAUUUCCAGGGGAAAAAAAUCCCAUUUCCCUGAGGGAUAAAUCCCAUUUCCAGGGGGGAUGAACCCCACUUUCACCCCUCUGUGCAUAAUCCGGCCGGGACAAGGGACAAUCCCCACCGGGGCUGCAAAUCCUUUGGAAAACACCUCAAAGACCAAAAACCAAAAAAAAGGCCAAGCUGCCAAACCCCUUUAAUGCCUCCUGGCAACGCCAAGGGCACUGAGUGGCUGCUGGCCUGGGUUUAAUGUUUAAAUCCUGGUUUAAAAAAGGGAUUUUCCAUCCUGCCCGAGGCUGAGCUGCCGCACAAAAUCACAUUCCCAGGCUGGGUGGGCUUUUCAGCAUCCCUGGAUACAUCUUCCUGCUCGUGGUACAGCAAGAAAUAAUUUGGUUUGGGUCUUAAAUGUAUUUUUUUGCAGCGAUUAUGGAGUUACCCCAGGAAUAAUCAUAAUGCAGGCAGGAGAUGCUGAACUUUCCUACAGCCAAAAAGGCCAAAGGAGCCCCUGUUGAAGCCAGAAAUUCUUCUGUUGCCACCUAGACACGGAUUUGUGUGCCACAAAAAUCAAAUUCAUCUCUUUGGGUUCUUAGUUAUGCUUUUUCUCCCCUUCCCCUGCAGAAAUCUGGGUUUAUAUCCAGAAAUAUUUAAAUUAAAGGCCCCUUCAAGCUCAGUGGUUUGGGUGGGAUCGUUUGCGAGGCCCUAAAUAAAACCUCGGGGGGAUGCACCCUGGCGAUGGGGAGGAAUUCCAGGUUUGGGAUUUGCUCCUUCUUGGAAAAAUCCGGGCUCAAGGAGCCAGGUUCGGGUUCGCUGCCUCCCUCUGGGGGCAGGGAUGAGAUCAGGGGGGUUAAAAAUAGCCAAAAGGCUGGGAAAAACAACCGGCUCCUUGGGUGCUCGGCAAAAUGAGCCAUGGGGGAGGAAAAUCCAGCCAACUGGGCAUUUUUAAAAUAUAUUUUUGGAGAUUCGCACAGCCGGCGGAUGCUGGAAAUGAGGAAUUAAUUCAGGUGGUUUGUGGCGGAGCUGGUUUUUAUCCGUGCUGGAGGAACCCUGCGCUCCCCCAGCGGAAAAUGGAGGCUGAGAGCAGCAAUUACGUGCUGAGCCUUGGCAAGGAGGAGGUUUCGCUCGGAGGGGAAAAACCAACACCCAAGUGCCAAAAUAUCACUGGAAAUAACCUCGGGGAGGUCCCCGGGGAGGCGGAGAGGGAGAGAAGGGAGGUGGGGAAGGUGGAGGAACAGAAAUUCCAUUUGCAUAAACAGAGACACUUUGUCAACCCCCAGCUGCACAUCAAGCAGGAGCAUGGAUUAUUAAUGAAUUUUUAAUUUCUUCUGGAAGUCCUCAGGGCUGAAGCCUCCCCUCCAGCGCAUCCAGGGCAGCUCUUUAAUGGAUUUUUGGCAUCCCAGGGUAAAAUUUCUGUCAGCCUGGAGGCAGGAGCUGCGUUGAGCUCCUCAGGAGGUUUGGUCCUUCUGCAUCCAGGGUGGAAAUAACGCCCCGGGCCCGGGGCCAGCUCAGCAAUCACUCAUGGCAUGAGUUGUGCUCAGGAAAUGCUGACUGCGGUUUUGGGGAGGGAGGAAAGUUCGUCUCCUUCGCGGCCUCUCAUUGAUUUUGUGUUGGUUUUUAUUGCUCGGGUUCAUUGAAAGUGUUUUUGUUCAGCCAGCCCUGGCUUUGCAAAGGCAGGGUGAAUAUUUAACCCAUUUGGGGUUAAAAUGUCCGUCCAUUGGGGUUAAAAUGUUCGUUUGUUGGGGUUAAAAUGUUCAUUUAUUGGGGUUAAAAUGUUCAUCUAUUGGGGUUAAAAAUGUUUACCCAUUGGGGCUGUAAAUGUCCAUCCAUUUGGAUUAAAAUGUUCAUUUUUUGGGGUUAAAAUGUCCAUCCAUUGGGGUUAAAAUGUUCAUCUAUUGGGGUUAAAAAUAUUCAUCCAUGGCGUUAUAAAUGUCCAUCCAUUUGGAUUAAAAUGUUCUUUUGUUGGGGUUAAA
Molecule: long non-coding RNA, 2538 nt
Organism: Pyrgilauda ruficollis (rufous-necked snowfinch)
Lineage: Eukaryota; Metazoa; Chordata; Aves; Passeriformes; Passeridae
Exons: 3
Source: RefSeq, a predicted model, not a curated record